Molecule: long non-coding RNA, 553 nt
Filed under: Helianthus annuus (common sunflower)
Lineage: Eukaryota; Viridiplantae; Streptophyta; Magnoliopsida; Asterales; Asteraceae
Description: hypothetical non coding rna
Source: RNAcentral
GAUGCUCAGCUUUGACUUGCGUACAAGUCAAGCAUUUGGCUACAUAAGCGGCUACAGACUUUUUCAGGCCUAUCCACCAACAAUUUGCCUUUAGAUCCUGGGCAUCUUAUGGCAAUUCUUAGUUGUUGCUUAAUUAGGUAUGGAGUUUUCGCAAUACUCCAGCCCACAGCGGGAUGUUAAUAUUAAUUCUACCUGCCUUCCAGGAGGUAAGUAGGGAAAACUUAUGAGAAGAUAAUCUAGAUACAGGGAGACUACCGAGAUUUUUUUUUUCAUAUCUCAGGCUCCAGUUCAUUCAUUAUUGUUUGUGCCAAACAAGUGACACAUAUUAGUCCACGAAUUCCAAAUUCGGGAGCAUUUAUUUGGACAAUUCCAUUCUGGAUAUCUUCUUUGAAUACUACUAGUCGAUUUUAGUACAAUAUGACCAUUGGGAUAUCUCAGGUGUUCCAUGUAUUAAACCUCCAUACUGAUCAGGCAUGGAAAUAAUCUAUGGGACACAUUAGGAUACGCCAAUCCUCAUAUGGUACUUUUAUCAAACAUAGUUUGGCAUUCGCAG